Molecule: ribosomal RNA, 621 nt
Filed under: uncultured bacterium
Lineage: Bacteria
Description: bacterial SSU rRNA
Rfam family: Bacterial small subunit ribosomal RNA
Source: RNAcentral
CGGCAUUCGAUACGGGCGAGCUUGAGUAUGGUAGGGGAGUCUGGAAUUCCUGGUGUAGCGGUGGAAUGCGCAGAUAUCAGGAGGAACACCAAUGGCGAAGGCAGGACUCUGGGCCAUUACUGACACUGAGGAGCGAAAGCGUGGGGAGCGAACAGGAUUAGAUACCCUGGUAGUCCACGCCGUAAACGGUGGGCACUAGUUGUGGGAACCUUCCACGGUUUCUGCGACGCAGCUAACGCAUUAAGUGCCCCGCCUGGGGAGUACGAUCGCAAGAUUAAAACUCAAAGGAAUUGACGGGGGCCCGCACAAGCAGCGGAGCAUGCGGCUUAAUUCGACGCAACGCGAAGAACCUUACCAAGGCUUGACAUAUAGCGAAAAGUGGCAGAGAUGUCAUGUCCGCAAGGGCGCUAUACAGGUGGUGCAUGGUUGUCGUCAGCUCGUGUCGUGAGAUGUUGGGUUAAGUCCCGCAACGAGCGCAACCCUCGUUUCUGUGUUGCCAGCAUUUAGUUGGGGACUCACAGGAGACUGCCCGGGGUUCAACUCGGAGGAAGGUGGGGGAUGACGUCCAAAUUCAUCAUGCCCCUUAUGUUCUUUGGGCUGCCCCGCAUGCUACAAUGGCUG